CUAUGCGCCUUGCCACGCCCGCUCAGAACUUAAAGGAAUUGCGGGGCCCGCACAAGCGAGGAACAUGUGGUUUAAUUCGAUGAUACGCGAGGAACCUUACCUGGGCUUAAAUGGGGAGUGACAGCUGUCGAAAGAUGGUUUUCUUCGGACACUCUUCAAGGUGCUGCAUGGUUGUCGUCAGCUCGUGCCGUGAGGUGUCGGGUUAAGUCCCAUAACGAGCGCAACCCUUACCGUUAGUUACCAUCAGGUUAAGCUGGGGACUCUAGCGGGACUGCCACCGUAAGGUGAGAGGAAGGUGGGGAUGACGUCAAAUCAGCACGGCCCUUAUGUCCAGGGCUACACACGUGUUACAAUGGCCAGUACAAAGGGCAGCUACCGGGUGACCGGAUGCUAAUCUCUAAAGCUGGUCUCAGUUCGGAUCGAAGUCUGCAACCCGACUUCGUGAAGCUGGAUUCGCUAGUAAUCGCGCAUCAGCCAUGGCGCGGUGAAUACGUUCCCGGGCCUU
RNAcentral lists this ribosomal RNA (505 nucleotides) under uncultured Sphingobacteriales bacterium. RNAcentral's name for it is "bacterial SSU rRNA". It matches the Rfam family "Bacterial small subunit ribosomal RNA", at positions 903 to 1382 of the family's 1533-position model. The record is from RNAcentral. Lineage: Bacteria; Pseudomonadati; Bacteroidota; Sphingobacteriia; Sphingobacteriales.